This is a long non-coding RNA of Aquila chrysaetos chrysaetos, 174 nucleotides long. RefSeq lists it as uncharacterized. The transcript is spliced from 3 exons. Lineage: Eukaryota; Metazoa; Chordata; Aves; Accipitriformes; Accipitridae. The record is from RefSeq and is a predicted model, not a curated record.
GGGGUAAGAAACAUAGCAAGAAGUAAAAAAUAGAAAGAGGGAGCUGGAUAGAGGUAGAUACAGAAAGAAAAUUUUGAAAGCAACAGGAUACAAGAAUCAAAAAAUAGGUACACGGAGCUGCAUAGAGGGAGACGUAAGAAUGAAAUUUGAAAAGCAACAGCGCACAGAGGUGAG